This 465-nucleotide ribosomal RNA is filed under the name uncultured organism. Its description in RNAcentral is "bacterial SSU rRNA". It matches the Rfam family "Bacterial small subunit ribosomal RNA", at positions 28 to 507 of the family's 1533-position model. The record is from RNAcentral.
GACGAACGCUGGCGGCGUGCUUAACACAUGCAAGUCGAACGGUGAACCAGGGCUUGCCCUGGGGAUCAGUGGCGAACGGGUGAGUAACACGUGGGCAACCUGCCCCUCGCUCUGGGAUAACCCCGGGAAACCGGGGCUAAUACCGGAUACGACCCGCGCGGACAUCCGCGCGGGUGGAAAGUUCUUCGGCGAGGGAUGGGCCCGCGGCCUAUCAGCUAGUUGGUGGGGUAACGGCCUACCAAGGCGACGACGGGUAGCCGGCCUGAGAGGGCGACCGGCCACACUGGGACUGAGACACGGCCCAGACUCCUACGGGAGGCAGCAGUGGGGAAUAUUGCGCAAUGGGCGAAAGCCUGACGCAGCGACGCCGCGUGAGGGACGACGGCCUUCGGGUUGUAAACCUCUUUCAGCAGGGAAGAAGCGAAAGUGACGGUACCUGCAGAAGAAGCACCGGCUAACUACGUG